UGUUCCUUAAAUAGGGACUCGUAUCAACGGCAUCACGAGGGCUAUACUGUCUCCCCUCUCCAAUCAGUGAAACUGAUCCCCCCGUGAAGAAGCGGGGAUUUAUUUAUAAGACGAGAAGACCCCAUGGAGCUUUAAACCCAACGUACACCACUUACUCAAACACCAGCUUAAUCUUAAACACUUGUACGUCGGUUUUAGGCUGGGGGGGCCACGGAGUAAAAUCAAACCUCCACAACAAAUGGGCUAACACCCUUAUCCACGACUUACUGAUCUAAGAAUCACUAAAAUGAUGUUUAAUGACCCGAUAAUUCGAUCAAUGAACCAAGUUACCCUGGGGAUAACAGCGCAAUCCACUUAAAGAGUCCAUAUCGACAAGUGGGUUUACGACCUCGAUGUUGGAUCAGGGUAUCCUAGUGGUGCAACCGCUA
Molecule: ribosomal RNA, 428 nt
Filed under: Odorrana supranarina
Lineage: Eukaryota; Metazoa; Chordata; Amphibia; Anura; Ranidae
Description: partial 16S rRNA
Rfam family: Bacterial large subunit ribosomal RNA
Source: RNAcentral